AUGGCUGGAGAGCCCGGGCCGGGCCCUGCGCACCCGGGCCUCAAGCGGCCUCAGGGCACUGCCAGCCCCUGUACGAGUGAUUAUGACCUGGACCAUAAGCUGUACAGGGAAAAUGUCCCCUACAGUAGGGUGUAUGAAUACCAAAGGAUCCCUCCACUCAUCAACCGCGUGCCUGUCAGGAUCCGGAGGACCCAGGUGGGCAUGGGGGUCAAAAGCAGCUUCCGUCUUCACACGGGCCCCAGGAAGAGCCACCUGCCCCGGGAGCAAAUAAAGCUCCCGACUGAGGAGCUGCACUCCAUCAGGGGGGAGCUGAGUCAGAUCAAAGCCCAAGUGGACCGUCUAUUGGAGAAUCUGGAGCACAUGGGCCAGCAGAGGGACCAGCUUCCAACUGGGGGCCCGGGACACACUCCCAGGUCAGAGGACAGUGAAGAAAACAGAGGUCCAGAACUCCAGCAGGAGCCCCAGGGCCAGAAGGCCCAUCCAGAAGCAGACAGCUCUGAGGACAGCACAGACCCAAAGGAGGCAGUGAAGAAUCCUGCAUCGGACCAGGAGGGCAGCCAGUAGAAUGGUGGAACCCCUCUGGGCUCCUUCCUGGAUGGCUCCCUUCCUUGCCUCGUGUGGGUUUUUGAAGGCCUCCUGGAGGUGCCUGUGCAGCCCGAAGCCACCCUUCUGGAAGGAGUGCAGUGAAGUGGGGGCCUGGCUCAGCCAAACUAGCCAUGAAGCUUCUCCGUAAUGGUGGCUUUUGGAGGUCACGUUUUCCGAUGAUACGGGCUGAGGGUGGCCUGCAGCUGCCUAGCAUAAGCCUCCCAUCCUCAUGAAGCUGAGGCCGUCUUGCAAGGGGCCCCAGGUCCCCCUGGGUACACAUCAGCCCCCAGUGACCACAGGUACCGUAGUGGCUGCUCCCCACUCCGAAGGGCCCUGCCAGUUCUGAGUAGGCAGCCAGCACAGUUCCCUCCAGCCACAGUGGCAUACCGGAAACCCUCAUGUUCCUACGGUCCCCCUUCCAGUCUGCACCUGGGCUUUCAGCUCCUCAGUGUGCCCCACAUAAUCCCCUUUGGUUCCAGACUCCCCAUCCACCCUGUAAAGCCAUCCUUCAGAAUAGGGACAUCAUUUUUAUGUUCUGCUCCUGUCUAGUCUCUUGCUAGUGUGAUACUAUGUGUUUCAGAUCUGCUCUGGAAAUAGUAUUGUAUCAAAAGGGAGAAAAUGCACAACAUUUUCCCCCCUUUUGGGGGUCAGGGGUUCUUGGUAGGGUCAUCAAGCCUCAUUCUGGUCUUUGGGCUGCCUCAGGCCAGGCCUUCCUGGAGAAGCUGAGCAGGCCCCUGCAUCACAGAAGUUCAGCAGUUCCUACUCAGCCAGGGCACAGAAGAGGGGACCAGGCUUCCCUGCCUUCUUCCAAUUCAGACCUGAGCACAAACCCACAGAGCUCAUGAGCCACAUAGGGAAGAUCCUGCUCUUGUGGUCACUCAGGCCAGUUCUCCAUAUGGAAUGAUGGCCAGGCCACAUCUGACUUCCCAACAACCAGCAGCUCUUACUCCUGGAAGUUCAUCUGCCCUUUCCCAGGAGGCAAGACUGGACCAGGGGCACCAAAUAAUAAAGCCAACCUGGUGCAGCACCUGGGCUCAGUCGGUUAGGCAUCAGAUUCUGAUUUUGGCUCAGGUCAUGAUCUCAGGAUCAUGAGAUCAAGCCCAGCAUCAGGCUCUGCGCUCAACAUGGAGUCUGUGUGGAAUUUUCUCUCUUCUUCCCCACUGUCAACCCCCUUGCAUGCCUCUAAAUUAAAAAAAAAAAAAAAAGGCAGCCUGGACCCCUACUUCUUAGCAGCAGUGGGGGAGGCCUCUAGCUUCCACCCAGAGCCAAACCCCUUCCACCUACCCAAACCUGAGCUGUGGUCUUGCCCAGCACCAAACCAGAGGCCACAGAGUACACCCAGAGUGCUCCUGGGCCCACACAACCUUCCCUACUGUUGUCACCUUGGCAAUGGCCAACUCUGCUACUCUAGGGGCACCUUCACCUCCUUCAAAGCACAUUUCCCCACACCAACUCCUGCACCUCCUUUAGUUUCAGCCAGUCUUUUCUGCUUAUGUUGGUCUAAGGAACAGGACACAUUUAAGACAAUGCUGUCCCCAACCCCUUGACACCAGGAGUCGACUACAGGGCACAAAAGAACCUUGUUCUUUUAAAUUCACUACCGAGAUGAACCACGAUAGACUUUUCCAGAUAUAAAGGAGUUUGUUUUAGCUCAGAUGUAAAUGAGAAGGCACAGCCCCCUUGUCCAUUCUCUCAAAAGCAGCCCAAGUCUAUAGAAGGGAGUCACUAGCUGGCCUGCACAGGGUCCAUCCCUUACAACAGUUCCAAGUCCCGUCCUCCAGAUGAGUCCAGCUGAAGUCCUUCCCAACCUGGGAGGCAAGCUGCAUUCGCAAGUUUCUUCACCUGGGUCGUAGCUGGGAAGCACCUGCUCAAGUAGAAACGUUUCUUUAACAGAAGUCUCUAAAGAGCCGUCCCAACACAGCCGUCCGGCGCUGUGCACGCCCCGUCGGAUCCUCUCCCGCCCGGAGUUCUCCGCGCCGCGCAGUCUGGCAGCGGACGGCAAGGGUCCUUCGGGGGACGGGGGCAGCUCGGUCCUCGGCGUCCG
RNAcentral lists this long non-coding RNA (2629 nucleotides) under Canis lupus familiaris (dog). Its description in RNAcentral is "lncRNA (ENSCAFG00040014651.1)". The record is from RNAcentral. Lineage: Eukaryota; Metazoa; Chordata; Mammalia; Carnivora; Canidae.